UACAGAGGGUGCGAACGUUGCUCGGAAUUACUGGGCGUAAAGCGCGUGUAGGCGGAGCGCUAAGUCGGGCGUGAAAUCCCCAGGCUCAACCUGGGAACUGCGCUCGAAACUGGCGUUCUCGAGUAUCGGAGAGGGUGGCGGAAUUCCUGGUGUAGAGGUGAAAUUCGUAGAUAUCAGGAGGAACACCGGUGGCGAAGGCGGCCACCUGGACGAUUACUGACGCUGAGACGCGAAAGCGUGGGGAGCAAACAGG
RNAcentral lists this ribosomal RNA (253 nucleotides) under uncultured bacterium. RNAcentral's name for it is "partial 16S ribosomal RNA". It matches the Rfam family "Bacterial small subunit ribosomal RNA", at positions 524 to 776 of the family's 1533-position model. The record is from RNAcentral.